Molecule: transfer RNA, 70 nt
Filed under: Ailuropoda melanoleuca (giant panda)
Lineage: Eukaryota; Metazoa; Chordata; Mammalia; Carnivora; Ursidae
Rfam family: tRNA
About the family: Transfer RNA (tRNA) molecules are approximately 80 nucleotides in length.
Source: Rfam by way of RNAcentral
ACCUGGCUGGCUCAGUUGGAGUGUGUGACUCUUGAUCUCAGGGUUGUGAGUUCAAGCCCCACGCUGGGCA